CGGGGGAUCUUCGGACCUCGCGCCAUUAGAUGAGCCUAGGUCGGAUUAGCUAGUUGGUGAGGUAAUGGCUCACCAAGGCGACGAUCCGUAACUGGUCUGANAGGAUGAUCAGUCACACUGGAACUGAGACACGGUCCAGACUCCUACGGGAGGCAGCAGUGGGGAAUAUUGGACAAUGGGCGAAAGCCUGAUCCAGCCAUGCCGCGUGUGUGAAGAAGGUCUUCGGAUUGUAAAGCACUUUAAGUUGGGAGGAAGGGUAGUAACCUAAUACGUUGCUACUUUGACGUUACCGACAGAAUAAGCACCGGCUAACUUCGUG
Molecule: ribosomal RNA, 319 nt
Filed under: uncultured bacterium
Lineage: Bacteria
Description: bacterial SSU rRNA
Rfam family: Bacterial small subunit ribosomal RNA
Source: RNAcentral